AGAAUUUCCACCCUACAUCCAGACUGUGCUAGACAGAUACUCUCAGUGUAACAAGAUUGCAGACUGUCUAUGACAAUGUACAGGAACCGAAUCUGCAACCCACAUAAAUGUUCAAUCACCCAAAGCUAUCUAAAGCUCCUGUUUGGGGACUCCAGGAGACCAGAGGAGCAUCUGCAACAUCCUUCAAAGAAUGGAAGGAGCAGACUGCCCAUCUACAGAGAAGAUUCAUAGGUAGAGCUCUCCCUACCACAGAGGUCACUUCCCAUCCUCCACUGGAGACACCAGCCAACUCGGGAAGCUGUUCUGUGUAUGGAAUUGGAAGCUCCACUUCCCUAAAAUGGGGGAGGAAGAGAUGGUUGGCCAGCAACUUCAGGU
RNAcentral lists this long non-coding RNA (375 nucleotides) under Dasypus novemcinctus (nine-banded armadillo). RNAcentral's name for it is "lncRNA (ENSDNOG00000050190.1)". Lineage: Eukaryota; Metazoa; Chordata; Mammalia; Cingulata; Dasypodidae. The record is from RNAcentral.